RNAcentral lists this unclassified non-coding RNA (583 nucleotides) under Hevea brasiliensis (rubber tree). Lineage: Eukaryota; Viridiplantae; Streptophyta; Magnoliopsida; Malpighiales; Euphorbiaceae. The record is from RNAcentral.
UCAAGAGACCCCCCUGAGAAACAAGCGCCCAUGUGCACUGUGCAUUCAUUUCCACACAAUAUCGAUCACUGUUUGACUUGGGCUCGAUCUGAGUUUGAGGGCUUGCUUGAGAAGACUCCUACUGAUGUGAACGCUUAUCUAUCUAAUCCUAGUGAAUAUACUUCUGCAAUGAUGAAUGCUGGUGAUGCUCAGUCUAGGGAUACUUUGGAGCGAAUUCUUGAGUGUCUUGAUAGAGAAAGAUGCGAGACAUUUGAAGACUGCAUUACAUGGGCUCGUUUGAAGUUUGAAGAUUAUUUUGCCAACCGUGUAAAGCAGUUGAUAUACACAUUUCCUGAAGAUGCUCAAACCAGUAAUGGGGCCCCAUUCUGGUCUGCUCCAAAGAGAUUUCCUCAUCCACUGCAGUUCUCAACUGCUGAUCAAAGUCACCUUCAGUUUGUUUUGGCGGCUGCUAUACUAAGAGCAGAGUCAUAUGGCAUUUCAAUUCCUGACUGGGUUAAGAACCCCCGGAAAUUGGCCGAUGCAGUCGACAGAGUUAUAGUCCCAGAUUUUAUGCCCAAAAAAGAUGCCAAGAUAGUGACUGAUG